UACAGAGACUCUGCCCUAUGGGUAGACCUCCCACCCUGUGUCGUUAUACCUUUGUUGCUUUGGUGGGCCGUGGGGCCCGGCCCUGCCCCUGGCUCCGGCUAGGGCGCGCCCACCAGAGGAUCUCAAAACCUGAACGUUAGUGUCGUCUGAGUGCUAUAUAAUAGUUAAAACUUUCAACAACGGAUCUCUUGGUUCUGGCAUCGAUGAAGAACGCAGCGAAAUGCGAUAAGUAAUGUGAAUUGCAGAAUUCAGUGAAUCAUCGAAUCUUUGAACGCACCUUGCGCCCCUUGGCUAUUCCGAAGGGCAUGCCUGUUUGAGUAUCAUGAACACCUCAACUCCCGUGGUUUGCCAUGGUGAGCUUGGACUUUGGAGGUUUUGCUGGCCCAUGGUCAGCUCCUCUCAAAUGAAUUAGCCUGCCAGUGUUUGGUGGCAUCACAGGUGUGAUAAAUAUCUACGCUUGCGAUUGCCCACCAGGUAACCUUCAGCAAUGGGGGUUCGCUGGGGCUCAUAGACGUCUCUCCCUCGGCGAGGACAGUUUUUUUAACGUUCG
This 550-nucleotide unclassified non-coding RNA is filed under the name Thelephoraceae sp. 28 CG-2012. RNAcentral describes it as "sequence contains ITS1, 5.8S rRNA gene, ITS2". The stretch from base 169 to 323 matches the Rfam family "5.8S ribosomal RNA". Lineage: Eukaryota; Fungi; Basidiomycota; Agaricomycetes; Thelephorales; Thelephoraceae. The record is from RNAcentral.